This 571-nucleotide ribosomal RNA is filed under the name uncultured bacterium. RNAcentral's name for it is "bacterial SSU rRNA". It matches the Rfam family "Bacterial small subunit ribosomal RNA", at positions 102 to 671 of the family's 1533-position model. The record is from RNAcentral.
ACGGGUGAGUAACACGUAGGCAACCUGCCUGUCAACCCGGGAUAACCUCGGGAAACCGGGGCUAAUACCGGAUAAAUCUCUGGCCGCAUGGUCAAGAGAUAAAAGGCAUUGGCCACUGGCAGAUGGGCCUGCGGCGCAUUAGCUAGUUGGUGGGAUAAAAGCCCACCAAGGCGACGAUGCGUAGCCGACCUGAGAGGGUGACCGGCCACACUGGGACUGAGACACGGCCCAGACUCCUACGGGAGGCAGCAGUAGGGAAUCUUCCGCAAUGGGCGCAAGCCUGACGGAGCGAUGCCGCGUGAGUGAGGAAGGUUUUCGGAUCGUAAAACUCUGUUGCGGGGGAAGAACCUCUGUGAUGGGAUCACAGACUGACGGUACCCCGCGAGGAAGCCCCGGCUAACUACGUGCCAGCAGCCGCGGUAACACGUAGGGGGCAAGCGUUGUCCGGAAUUAUUGGGCGUAAAGGGCGCGCAGGCGGUCAUUUGAGUCUGAUGUGAAAGCCCACGGCUCAACCGUGGAGAGACAUUGGAAACUGGAUGACUUGAGUGUAGGAGAGGGAAGUGGAAUUCCA